UUCCAGCACUUUCUCUGGCUCCAACACUUUGAUUCAAUAUUGAAAGCCAUAUCCUUGCACUGCUGCUGAGCAGAUUUGAAGGCCAAAGACCUAAAGCCCACACCUCCCUGCACAACUGGAGCCUGAUUUUCAGACCUGUAAUUAGCACCGGGUAGCCUCUUGACACACAACUUGAAACACGUAUUUUCUCAUUUACUGGUUAAACUCACUCAGGCUGACUAUUUUCAGUGAUACAAGCAUGUACAUCCCAUGACUAGUCUUACGGAUUUGCUCCAGAUUGUGCUAAUUACUAUUCCAGGUGGCUAUGAGUUAAUUAGGAAGCUAUGUGUUUCAGUGUGCACGGUAGCCAUACAUAAAUAAAUCAUUAUUGAACGCAGAGUGCACAGAUAUUUGAUGUGGCAGAUAUCCUUUGACUUGCACAGGACAGCUGAAAUGCAUGUAUUAUUAUUGACCACAUGCAUUUUAUUUUUACAUUAAUUGGCCUCAUCUGGGUUGGGGUUUUGGAGGUCUGAGGGUAAGAGGCUUAAUCUGGAGUCAUCGGUUGUUAUGCAUCAUGGCCCAAAUUUUAUUUCUUUAGGUUUCAGGCCAGCCUGUAAUGUGUGAGGUACGACCUUCCCUCAGAUGCUAAAAGGGUGCUGUGCCUGCCUGGGUUUGGACAUCUGGCAAGGACGAUAAAAAGCCAGCAAGGCCUUCCAUUGGGGCAUUUUGGCACGUCCAGCUCUGUGGCCACCUGCUUUGCUGCAUUCAGGAGCUCCCACUGGCUGAGCAGAUCCACACCACAUCAGUGACAUCCAUCCUGUCCCAACAGACAGGUCCCCAUGACCACAGAGGUAUGUUUCUGAAGUGCUACCAAGGGUUUUGUGGUGUUAAAUUCUGUUUUGCUAAUGUAUUUACUGAACCAAUGCCCGCACAGCUUCCUGAAAGGCAGACUGGGACUGCUAGCAUGGUCUGUAAUUUCAGCAGUGCUUCUGAGCCUUCUGACUGAGCCUGUUCUCUCACCAGAGUCACCAUUUACUUCAGCACAUUUUUAAAAUUUUAAUUCCUGCCCUCCCCCACGCAUGCACGCAGACCUCACAGAGAUUUUCAUGCAUUUAAAUGAAAAAGCUGAACAGUUCCCUUUUCUCGUUCACAUUAUGCAGCAUUGCCCUUCUCUGUACUUUAUCCUAUUUCAGAGCUGUCAUGCAAAUGAACCCAAAUUAAAAAAAAAAAAAAAUCAUUAAAGUAGUAUGUAUCCUAUCAGCCUUCUGUCUUGGCUCCUUCUCUUCCUGUAUGUGUAGGGAGAAAUCCCUUCUCCUGCUUGCCCUUCUCUUUCAGGUGUUUUGACUUUUUUUUCUAACUAAUCCAAUAACUUUGUGGCUCCCCCAAAUGCUCUGGUCUGCCACGGUUGUCCAAUAAGCCUCUGUGCCCUUCACCUCCCCACACACAUAGUAUUUACUACUCCAGGACUACAGAACUCUUGUUUUCUAAAGCUUUUUUCAUGUUUUCUUCCUCAACUACAGCAGAAUAAAAAAUUAUCCUUUUCUGUAAAACCUGUCCUG
This 1538-nucleotide long non-coding RNA is filed under the name Anser brachyrhynchus (Pink-footed goose). RNAcentral's name for it is "lncRNA (ENSABRG00000002874.1)". Lineage: Eukaryota; Metazoa; Chordata; Aves; Anseriformes; Anatidae. The record is from RNAcentral.